This 252-nucleotide long non-coding RNA is filed under the name Salvia miltiorrhiza (redroot sage). Its description in RNAcentral is "long non-coding RNA (SMIL_LNC011672)". The record is from RNAcentral. Lineage: Eukaryota; Viridiplantae; Streptophyta; Magnoliopsida; Lamiales; Lamiaceae.
CAAUUUGCCUUGAUGGCCCUUGAGUUGAUUCACGGAAGUUGCGAGUUGAGACACUUGACGAGCCAACCCCUCAAUCUGCACCUUCUGCUCGGCUUGGGAUUGUUGGAGUUGUUGUACAUUAUUCUGCAAAAAUUGUUGAUUACCAAUCAAGUCCGCCAUCAUCUCCUCGAGUGACUUGCCUUGCUUUUCCGGAACAGAUUGGUGAACUUGUGGUGCUUGGUACCCCGUCCUUUGAUGUGGGGGACGGUAGUU